This is a small nuclear RNA of Scophthalmus maximus (turbot), 186 nucleotides long. Its record names the gene U2. It matches the Rfam family "U2 spliceosomal RNA". Rfam says of the family: U2 is a small nuclear RNA (snRNA) component of the spliceosome (involved in pre-mRNA splicing). Complementary binding between U2 snRNA (in an area lying towards the 5' end but 3' to hairpin I) and the branchpoint sequence (BPS) of the intron results the bulging out of an unpaired adenosine, on the BPS, which initiates a nucleophilic attack at the intronic 5' splice site, thus starting the first of two transesterification reactions that mediate splicing. The record is from Ensembl. Lineage: Eukaryota; Metazoa; Chordata; Actinopteri; Pleuronectiformes; Scophthalmidae.
AUCGCUUCUCAGCCUUUUGGCUAAGAAGCGUAGUAUCUGUUCUUAUCAGUUUAAUAUGUGAUAUGUCCCCUAUAUGGGGAUAACAGAUUAAACUGAUUUUUAGCAACAGGAGUUGAAACAUGGAGCUUGCUCCUUUCACUCCAAGCAUUGACCUAGCCUUCACUGCUGUUAGUUUGUGAAAAAAGC